This 557-nucleotide ribosomal RNA is filed under the name uncultured bacterium. RNAcentral describes it as "bacterial SSU rRNA". It matches the Rfam family "Bacterial small subunit ribosomal RNA", at positions 102 to 694 of the family's 1533-position model. The record is from RNAcentral.
ACGGGUGCGUAACGCGUGGGAAUCUGCCCUUAGGUUCGGAAUAACAGCUGGAAACGGCUGCUAAUACCGGAUGAUGACGAAAGUCCAAAGAUUUAUUGCCUGAGGAUGAGCCCGCGUUGGAUUAGGUAGUUGGUGGGGUAAAGGACUACCAAGCCGACGAUCCAUAGCUGGUCUGAGAGGAUGAUCAGCCACACUGGGACAGAGACACGGCCCAGACUCCUACGGGAGGCAGCAGUGGGGAAUAUUGGACAAUGGGCGAAAGCCUGAUCCAGCAAUGCCGCGUGAGUGAUGAAGGCCCUAGGGUUGUAAAGCUCUUUUACCCGGGAAGAUAAUGACUGUACCGGGAGAAUAAGCCCCGGCUAACUCCGUGCCAGCAGCCGCGGUAAUACGGAGGGGGCUAGCGUUGUUCGGAAUUACUGGGCGUAAAGCGCACGUAGGCGGCUUUGUAAGUCAGAGGUGAAAGCCUGGAGCUCAACUCCAGAACUGCCUUUGAGACUGCAUCGCUUGAAUCCAGGAGAGGUCAGUGGAAUUCCGAGUGUAGAGGUGAAAUUCGUAGA